RNAcentral lists this small RNA (457 nucleotides) under Pongo abelii (Sumatran orangutan). RNAcentral describes it as "processed transcript". The record is from RNAcentral. Lineage: Eukaryota; Metazoa; Chordata; Mammalia; Primates; Hominidae.
GUAAGGCAUUGCCCUUUCUGAUAGUUCUGAUGUUCAGUUGGAAAUCUCUGUUGAGAGCAGAAGAAAUCUCAAUUGGGAAGAGAAGGGGACGUUAUGAUGGAAGACGUUGGACAGAAUCCACUGGCUGAUGUGUAAGUAUGGGAAUAAUAAAAGAGUUCAGUAGAGGAAGCUCCACCGGAAGAGUCUCCAGCAAUCCAGUACCAGACGAUAGAAUUACCAGCACUAGAAGCCGUAAAACAGAACCUCGAUUGCCUGAAUUCAGACCUUGAAAAGGACCUGCAGAAACUGGAUAUGGAGAAUCAGGUUCUCCUUAGAAAGAUUAAAGAGAAAGAAGAAACUAUUCCAAGCCUGGAAAGAGAGCUGGCCUUGUCACUAGAAGAAGCCAAAGAGGAGGAGGAGUUGAACUAUAUCAUAGAUGAACAGGAGGAAUCCCUGAGGCAGCUGGAAUUAGAGACAG